UGUAAUAAAAAAAAACCACAGCAAGACAUGUUCUCACUGUACAAAUGUCUGGUGCUACAAUCUGAUGAUUUUAUGUAAACUCAUUCAUUUAAAACAUUUGGCUGAUUAAAGUCCAGAGUGAAAUACAAAAUUUAAGUUCAACAGACACACAUUU
Molecule: long non-coding RNA, 154 nt
Organism: Etheostoma cragini (Arkansas darter)
Lineage: Eukaryota; Metazoa; Chordata; Actinopteri; Perciformes; Percidae
Exons: 3
Source: RefSeq, a predicted model, not a curated record